Molecule: ribosomal RNA, 371 nt
Filed under: uncultured bacterium
Lineage: Bacteria
Description: bacterial SSU rRNA
Rfam family: Bacterial small subunit ribosomal RNA
Source: RNAcentral
GGGCCCGCACAAGCGGUGGAGUAUGUGGUUUAAUUCGAUGCAACGCGAAGAACCUUACCAGGGUUUGACAUCCUGCGAAUCUCUUGGAAACGAGAGAGUGCCUUCGGGAACGCAGUGACAGGUGGUGCAUGGCUGUCGUCAGCUCGUGUCGUGAGAUGUUGGGUUAAGUCCCGCAACGAGCGCAACCCACGUCGUUAGUUGCCAGCAUUUUAGUUGGGCACUCUAGCGAGACCGCCGGUGAUAAACCGGAGAAGGUGUGGAUGACGUCAAGUCAUCAUGCCCCUUACAUCUGGGCUACACACGUACUACAAUGCUACGGACAAAGGGCAGCAAACUCGCGAGAGCUAGCAAAUCCCAUAAACGUGGCUCAG